CCUGGAAUCGUUUGUGUUCCAAAUGAUUUAUCGCCGUAGGAUGGGACUGCGGCCUAUCAGUUUGUUGGUGAGGUAAUGGCCCACCAAGACUAUUACAGGUACGGGCUCUGAGAGGAGUAGCCCGGAGAUGGGUACUGAGACACGGACCCAGGCCCUAUGGGGCGCAGCAGGCGAGAAAACUUUGCAAUGUGCGAAAGCACGACAAGGUUAAUCCGAGUGGUUUGUGCUAAACGAACCUUUUGACAGUCCUAGAAACACUGUUGAAUAAGGGGUGGGCAAGUUCUGGUGUCAGCCGCCGCGGUAAAACCAGCACCUCAAGUGGUCAGGAUGAUUAUUGGGCCUAAAGCAUCCGUAGCCGGCUCUGUAAGUUUUCGGUUAAAUCUGUACGCA
RNAcentral lists this ribosomal RNA (390 nucleotides) under uncultured marine archaeon. RNAcentral describes it as "bacterial SSU rRNA". It matches the Rfam family "Archaeal small subunit ribosomal RNA", at positions 169 to 559 of the family's 1478-position model. The record is from RNAcentral.